GACAGAGGGUGCAAACGUUGUUCGGAUUCAUUGGGCGUAAAGGGCGCGUAGGCGGCCUGCUAAGUCGAACGUGAAAUCCCUGGGCUCAACCCAGGAACUGCGUCCGAUACUGGUUGGCUUGAAUCCGGGAGAGGGAUGUGGAAUUCCAGGUGUAGCGGUGAAAUGCGUAGAUAUCUGGAGGAACACCGGUGGCGAAGGCGACAUCCUGGACCGGUAUUGACGCUGAGGCGCGAAAGCCAGGGGAGCAAACGGG
RNAcentral lists this ribosomal RNA (253 nucleotides) under uncultured bacterium. RNAcentral's name for it is "partial 16S ribosomal RNA". It matches the Rfam family "Bacterial small subunit ribosomal RNA", at positions 524 to 776 of the family's 1533-position model. The record is from RNAcentral.